RNAcentral lists this ribosomal RNA (339 nucleotides) under Triticum aestivum (bread wheat). RNAcentral's name for it is "partial small subunit ribosomal RNA". Lineage: Eukaryota; Viridiplantae; Streptophyta; Magnoliopsida; Poales; Poaceae. The record is from RNAcentral.
AUGAAGACCCUGGGCCAGAGUGGCGACGAAGACCCAGCACCGCGACGGCGACCAAAAUUGUCCGCGGCGACGGCGGCCAAGGCGGACCAAAUCGAGGACCUAGUCGUCGAUUUACUGCUUCUUGGCACGAUUCAGAGGGAGGUGACGAAGAGGAAGAACUUUAGAAGCAAUCCCGCUGCUCAGGUAGGCGAGGGCACACCCAUGGCGGCUGCGCGCAGCUGGGCGGCGGCGCAAGGCGCCUCCGUGGAGGUUCUGCGCGUCUCCUCCGCGACGACACAGGUCGUCUCCUGCACAGGCGGCUGGGUCCUGCAACACGCGGAGACUCUCUCUGGGUGCUGA